Molecule: ribosomal RNA, 253 nt
Filed under: uncultured bacterium
Lineage: Bacteria
Description: partial 16S ribosomal RNA
Rfam family: Bacterial small subunit ribosomal RNA
Source: RNAcentral
UACGGAGGGUGCAAGCGUUAUCCGGAUUCACUGGGUUUAAAGGGUGCGUAGGUGGGCAGGUAAGUCAGUGGUGAAAUCCCCGAGCUUAACUUGGGAACUGCCAUUGAUACUAUUUGUCUUGAAUACUGUGGAGGUUAGCGGAAUAUGUCAUGUAGCGGUGAAAUGCUUAAAUAUGACAUAGAACACCAAUUGCGAAGGCAGCUGGCUACACAAAUAUUGACACUGAUGCACGAAAGCGUGGGGAUCAAACAGG